AUGGCGUUGGGAGAAAUAUGUUGCACUAUCGAUAUAAGCAAGACUAGGAGCUCUUCAAAAACAGCAGGCUUCCUGUUUUUUCUUUUAUUGCAAAUGAGUCUGCUCUCUAAAGUAUGGACAACUUCCACAACAGCUAGUCCAGCAACCACUCUGAAAACAGAUGCCAAAUCAUCUACAGUGUCAGACCCUGUUACCCAGAGUUUGACAACUCAGUCUACGUAUCCGAACACUGCUUCUAACAGUGCUACUGUCGCCUCAGCUGGUAUUACUAGUAUGGAGACAGCAAACAUAUCUUCUUCAGAAAAUUACACGGCGCUAUCCUGUCCAGCAUUUGCUUGCACAAAAGAUUGUUAUGACCAGUUCAUGAAUAUGACGGCGAAGCCCUGCCAAUCCAGUGAAUACUUCUGUAAGAUAAUGAAAGGCGAUGCAGGUUACUCUGUCAGCUGCAGUGCCUCAUGUGGCGUGCCCUGUGAGAACGGGACUCUCAGUAAUUGCUCUGUCAACUGUUGCAACACAACUAACUGCCUCAACAACAGUCUGCUUGCCAUGUUCAAUUCACUCAAUACCACAGCUACAACAAAACCGACUACUACAACCACAACCAUAAAGACCACAGUUCCAACCACCCCAGCAAGCAAUGGCAAGAAGUGUCAUAAUUUCAAGUGUAAUGGAGCAGCGUGUUACAAAGCCAAUGUCGCCAGUAAUGCUGCAUGUCCAGUUGGUCUGGACUACUGCAUGCUACAAAAGACAACAUCUGGCACCACAGAAAGCUGGCAGGCGGGUUGCAGUACAGAUUGCAGAAAGAUGACAGCUUGUUCAAGCACCAGUACUGCCUGUCACCUGGAGUGCUGCAAUGCCACUACCACCUCAUGCCUCAAACUGACAGGUGAAGUGAACAUGCCCAGCUCUGCCACCAGGAGUCCUCACUGUCCCGCACUGCUCAUGGCCUCUUUGCUGUUCUUCUGGAUAGUCAAAAUCUUAAAUUGA
Cyprinus carpio carpio is the source of this 987-nucleotide long non-coding RNA. The record is from Ensembl. Lineage: Eukaryota; Metazoa; Chordata; Actinopteri; Cypriniformes; Cyprinidae.